RNAcentral lists this ribosomal RNA (250 nucleotides) under uncultured bacterium. RNAcentral's name for it is "partial 16S ribosomal RNA". It matches the Rfam family "Bacterial small subunit ribosomal RNA", at positions 524 to 773 of the family's 1533-position model. The record is from RNAcentral.
UACAGAGGGUGCAAGCGUUAUCCGGAAUUAUUGGGCGUAAAGAGCUCGUAGGCGGUUUGUCGCGUCUAUCGUGAAAGUCCGAGGCUCAACCUCGGAUCUGCGGUGGGUACGGGCAGACUAGAGUGAUGUAGGGGAGACUGGAAUUCCUGGUGUAGCGGUGAAAUGCGCAGAUAUCAGGAGGAACACCGAUGGCGAAGGCAGGUCUCUGGGCAUUAACUGACGCUGAGGAGCGAAAGCAUGGGGAGCGAAC